CCAAAAUUAUUCCUGUACUCAUGGAUCCUAGAUUUUAUUUAGGGAAGAAUAUAAACAUAUAUGUAUAUAAAUUAAAUACAUAGAAAGUAAAGGAGGAAGAGGCAACUGGAACUUUUAGAGAAGGCUCCAUUGGGCAAAACUCCUGAAAUCUAUCCAUGGACUUCUUUGUACAACCGAUUAAGAAGCCCUGACCUAGAUGAUCUGAAAGUUUUCUUCUGGUGCUAAAUCCCAAGAUUCUUUAGUCCACUUGGCCUUCUCUAACCACUACUUAAAAGUAGCACUCUGGGUUCCCAAGAUUACUCUCAGAGAAAGCCAGCGGUGGCCUGCUUCAAACUCACAAUCCACGUUUUCAGAGUCUGAAUCCUCCAAAUGGAAGAUUAAAUGCCAGUGCCCCUACAAUAGGGCUCCCUUCUCUGUCGACCCCCCUCCCUCUUUAUAGAUGGAUGGUGUACCUCUAUUUUAUAACCUGACCCCAGCUAAUACAGCUUUCUUAACGAAUCUGGAUCUUUUCUUCACCCUCUAAAUCUUUUUGAAGUCAUUAAGCAAAGAACAAGUUUUAAAAUAAAAGGGGCUUGCUUCCAUUUGCUUUAGUUUGAUUUAGAUAUUUUAAAAAUGUUUCUUAAGUACCUAUGUGAGAGUCACAAAUGCCAUUGGCCUUUCCCUAAGGCAUUGCUAAUUGCUUGACUAUGAACCAAAUUCUGUUAUCACCCUCUGUGUGACCUGAGACAAAUCAUUUGUCCAGUUUAGAUUUCAAUUUUCUCAUCUUAUUAAAUAGAGGAUGUGGAUUUUAAAUUUAAAAGCCCUUUCUAGCCCCCAAAAUAAUGACUCUCUGAUCUUCUAAGACAAAAUAGACAAUGAAGAUCUCACAAAAGGAACCAGUCUUGCAAGAGAGAAUAUGAAUCACUAGCCAAAUCCUAAAAAGCAUCUGCUGCUUACUUCAUUCCUAGACUGAGGGUCUCUACCUUCAAAGAAUCACAAUUUACAUUAAUUACUCUUUAGUCCAUUACAAAUCUUGGUUUCUUUCUAAAUUUUCUUCUGAAUGCAAGUAUUGCUCAGGCAGCACCCGGUAUGAUCAUUAAUGGGGAGUACCCAAUGACUGGGCUCUAGUUCCCCUAAUUGGGUCUGAGUGAUAAGGACAGGUGUUUGCCAGUUGCUUUCUCUGUUCAGGAGAAUGGUAGAAGUCUGUUCUGUCAUGGGAGAUUGGGAUUGUGCCUGACUAUGACAGGGAGCCUUCUGGGAACUAAUCAAACCUAAAGCCAGAGUUAUAUUUGCCUAAUAAAGACAUGUUC
Sarcophilus harrisii (Tasmanian devil) is the source of this 1289-nucleotide long non-coding RNA. RefSeq lists it as uncharacterized. The record is from RefSeq and is a predicted model, not a curated record. NCBI's taxonomy places the organism in Eukaryota, Metazoa, Chordata, Mammalia, Dasyuromorphia, Dasyuridae. The transcript is spliced from 3 exons.